CCUACGGGUGGCAGCAGUGGGGAAUAUUGCGCAAUGGGGGCAACCCUGACGCAGCAACGCCGCGUGAUUGAAGAAGGCCUUCGGGUUGUAAAGAUCUUUAAUCAGGGACGAAAAAUGACGGUACCUGAAGAAUAAGCUCCGGCUAACUACGUGCCAGCAGCCGCGGUAAUCCGUAGGGAGCAAGCGUUAUCCGGAUUUACUGGGUGUAAAGGGCGCGUAGGCGGGUUGGUAAGUCAGAAGUGAAAGCUGGGGGCUCAACCCCCAAACUGCAUUUGAAACUGCGGGACUUGAGUGAUGGAGAGGCAGGCGGAAUUCCCAGUGUAGCGGUGAAAUGCGUAGAUAUUGGGAGGAACACCAGUGGCGAAGGCGGCCUGCUGGACAUUAACUGACGCUGAGGCGCGAAAGCGUGGGGAGCAAACAGGAUUAGAUACCCUUGUAGUC
Molecule: ribosomal RNA, 441 nt
Filed under: uncultured bacterium
Lineage: Bacteria
Description: partial 16S ribosomal RNA
Rfam family: Bacterial small subunit ribosomal RNA
Source: RNAcentral